CUCCACCACACGCAGUGAUUAGAUUUCUGAAGAAGGGGAACACCGGCUAUCGAGUAAUGAAGGCUAGAGCGUCGCCAUGUGCUCUUCAUUCUUCCGUCCGUCAGCGUCAAUCAGCUGUUAGGCGCUCUUCCAAACCCACGGCUUUCCAUCAGAUCACUUCCCACUCUACGGACACACGCAGGCUCUCUUUCUCUCUGUUUCUGCCCAAUUUCGACGACGUUUCCUCCCAAAUGGGCCUCCCUUCGUUUCGCCCGGCUCCUCCGCCGCUGACCACCUGGCCGGACGCUCCCAGGCACAACCACCACCAGCAGCAGCAGCGAGGCAGGCGCGCCGAAGACCGGAGCCGGCGAGGAAGGGAAGAGCGGACAGAAGCGCCGCUUCACCUUCAUCCAGAGGCGGCCGCGGAGAAGGGGAGGGUCGAGAAACGAGGCAACGAGACGACGGACGAGGAAAACGGCUCCUUUGCAAGCCGGCAGCUCCCCUGCACCCCGCCCCGCCCUUAGAGGCCGACGAGCACUUGGCCGCUGUGCCACCAAGGCCAAGAGUUGCUGCUCUUUCAUCAGCGGAGACUCUGCAAACGGACGUCCGCGUUAAUACUGAAAGAAAUGCAGCAGUUACAAGUGGAAUCGGGGGCAUUUGAACCUUCUGACGGAGUGUUUCUUGGUACUAUUUUUAUCUCCCCCGCUUGGCUUCAGCCCUAAUUCGCUGCUCGCUCUGAAAAUUCGGGGAAUGGGAGUCCGAAGGUCGUAAAGGGGCCGUAAGUCCUCGAGCCAGACUUUACAAGGGGCCCGCAGCUCCGCUUCUACUGGUCCCGAGAUCAGGAAGCGGAAAAGCCCCAGAACACAAACGGCAUCUGCGCUGCCAUUUUUUCUCUGCGCCGCGCAGCCUUUGCCUUCGCCGUUGGCUCCGGGUUCCUCACUCUCGGGGCAGCCCUGCCUGGUCAACGGGCAGCCCGGAAACGGGAGCUGCGAAGCGGUGCGAGGAGAGAAGCGGAAGAGGCUCCCCAUUCCACUCCCCCCGCCCCGGACAGAACGUGGCUCAAUGACUGCAGAUUUUUUCUCCAUCGGGAUGUUUUUAAAAAAUUUCAAUGUUUCACUGAACGAGUGUCGAACAUUGGUUUUUGUCCCCCAAGAGCUCCGACAUAAUCUAUCCCCCGAUAAUCCUGAGCCCCUUCUUUGAUAUUUUAAACAAGAUUCCUACAGUUAUAAUAAGGAAGCAAAAAAAACCCCACCUUUAUUUAUGGAUUGAUUUAUUCUUCACGUUCUUCACUUUCU
This is a long non-coding RNA of Naja naja (Indian cobra), 1274 nucleotides long. The record is from Ensembl. Lineage: Eukaryota; Metazoa; Chordata; Lepidosauria; Squamata; Elapidae.